Molecule: long non-coding RNA, 312 nt
Filed under: Rattus norvegicus (Norway rat)
Lineage: Eukaryota; Metazoa; Chordata; Mammalia; Rodentia; Muridae
Description: long non-coding RNA NONRATT007040
Source: RNAcentral
GGACUUUGGACCAGGGUCUCAGCAACAGUGACGCUGGCCUCGACUGGAAGCUGCGUGGGGAGGCGGCUGCUAUCAGACCAUGGGGGACGUGAAACUGUUUGCCUCGUCGCACAUGUCCAAAACCUCCCACAGUGUGGAUCCCUCGAGGGUCAGCUCUCUGCCUCUCACCGAGGCCCCUGCUUUCAUUCUGCCUCCUCGGAACCUCUGCGUCAAAGAAGGAGCCACCGCCAAGUUUGAAGGGAGGGUCCGGGGCCACCCAGAGCCCCAGGUGACAUGGCACAGAAAUGGGCAAACCAUCACCAAUGGCGGCCG